UUAUACUAAAGUUUAGGUUUUGAAUGUUUCUGUUACGUUGAAGAGGGCUUAUUAGUUGAGAGUAGUAUA
This 69-nucleotide transfer RNA is filed under the name Orodesminus sp. MPE04222. RNAcentral's name for it is "tRNA-Val". The record is from RNAcentral. Lineage: Eukaryota; Metazoa; Arthropoda; Diplopoda; Polydesmida; Oxydesmidae.